CAAAAUGUAUCUUAAAUUAAAGUCCUCCGCUUACACCGAAGCUAUGUCUGUUAACUCAGACCAUUUUGA
RNAcentral lists this transfer RNA (69 nucleotides) under Alcalus tasanae (Tasan eastern frog). RNAcentral describes it as "tRNA-Val". Lineage: Eukaryota; Metazoa; Chordata; Amphibia; Anura; Ceratobatrachidae. The record is from RNAcentral.